RNAcentral lists this ribosomal RNA (253 nucleotides) under uncultured bacterium. RNAcentral describes it as "partial 16S ribosomal RNA". It matches the Rfam family "Bacterial small subunit ribosomal RNA", at positions 524 to 776 of the family's 1533-position model. The record is from RNAcentral.
UACGUAGGGCGCAAGCGUUGUCCGGAAUUAUUGGGCGUAAAGAGCUCGUAGGCGGUUUGUCGCGUCUGUCGUGAAAGCUUGGGGCUUAACCCCAAGUCUGCGGUGGAUACGGGCAGACUAGAGGCAGGUAGGGGAGAACGGAAUUCCCGGUGUAGCGGUGAAAUGCGCUGAUAUCGGGAGGAACACCGGUGGCGAAGGCGGUUCUCUGGGCCUGUACUGACGCUGAGGAGCGAAAGCGUGGGGAGCGAACAGG